CAGCAGCCGCGGUAAUACAGAGGGUGCGAGCGUUAAUCGGAUUUACUGGGCGUAAAGCGUGCGUAGGCGGCUUUUUAAGUCGGAUGUGAAAUCCCUGAGCUUAACUUAGGAAUUGCAUUCGAUACUGGGAAGCUAGAGUAUGGGAGAGGAUGGUAGAAUUCCAGGUGUAGCGGUGAAAUGCGUAGAGAUCUGGAGGAAUACCGAUGGCGAAGGCAGCCAUCUGGCCUAAUACUGACGCUGAGGUACAAAAGCAUGGGGAGCAAACAGGAUUAGAUACCCGGGUAGUCCCUGUCUCUUAUAC
Molecule: ribosomal RNA, 301 nt
Filed under: uncultured bacterium
Lineage: Bacteria
Description: partial 16S ribosomal RNA
Rfam family: Bacterial small subunit ribosomal RNA
Source: RNAcentral